Long non-coding RNA from Sciurus carolinensis (gray squirrel), 371 nucleotides. RefSeq lists it as uncharacterized. The record is from RefSeq and is a predicted model, not a curated record. The transcript has 3 exons. NCBI's taxonomy places the organism in Eukaryota, Metazoa, Chordata, Mammalia, Rodentia, Sciuridae.
UCCAGGAGAGGAGGUGCUCGGAGGAAAGGGCGGGGGUUGCUGAUGUAAUGGGGAGAAGUGAUUAAUCCUUCAUUUCGUCGUUCCCCCACCCCCGAUUUUUUAAGCGGAAAAAAGUGGAGCAAGGAAGCCAGUCUUUGAUUUCUGAAGAUGAAGGUGACAGAAAUGUGCCCGGAUGUGAGUGGAAGACCAAGAAGGAGUUCUACCACUUAAUGGCUGUCUAACCUGAAGCAAAUUCCUCAACCUCUGUGUUUAUUUCUGCAUCUGUAAAAUGGGGAUGCUGAUAGUCCUCAUUUUGUGGGAUUGUCAUGAGUUAAGUAAUGAAUACCGUGGCUGGGGUCACAACCCCAGCAUGUGUGAGGCACUGGGUUUGA